AACGCUAGCUACAGGCUUAACACAUGCAAGUCGAGGGGUAGCAGGGUAGCAAUACCGCUGACGACCGGCGCACGGGUGAGUAACACGUAUCCAACCUUCCCAUAACUCGGGGAUAGCCUUUCGAAAGAAAGAUUAAUACCCGAUAGUACUUAUUAAAGGCAUCUUUGAUAAGUUAAAGAUUUAUUGGUUAUGGAUGGGGAUGCGUUCCAUUAGAUAGUUGGUGAGGUAACGGCUCACCAAGUCUUCGAUGGAUAGGGGUUCUGAGAGGAAGGUCCCCCACAUUGGUACUGAGACACGGACCAAACUCCUACGGGAGGCAGCAGUGAGGAAUAUUGGUCAAUGGGCGAGAGCCUGAACCAGCCAAGUAGCGUGAAGGAUGAAGGUCCUAUGGAUUGUAAACUUCUUUUAUAGUAGAAUAAAGUGAACCACGUGUGGUUUUUUGUAUGUAUACUAUGAAUAAGGAUCGGCUAACUCCGUGCCAGCAGCCGCGGUAAUACGGAGGAUCCGAGCGUUAUCCGGAUUUAUUGGGUUUAAAGGGUGCGUAGGCGGAAUAAUAAGUCAGUUGUGAAAGUUUGCGGCUCAACCGUAAAAUUGCAGUUGAUACUGUUGUUCUUGAGUGUACAUAAGGUAGGCGGAAUUCGUGGUGUAGCGGUGAAAUGCUUAGAUAUCACGAAGAACUCCGAUUG
RNAcentral lists this ribosomal RNA (686 nucleotides) under uncultured bacterium. RNAcentral's name for it is "bacterial SSU rRNA". It matches the Rfam family "Bacterial small subunit ribosomal RNA", at positions 32 to 715 of the family's 1533-position model. The record is from RNAcentral.